This 24-nucleotide non-coding RNA is filed under the name Rattus norvegicus (Norway rat). Lineage: Eukaryota; Metazoa; Chordata; Mammalia; Rodentia; Muridae. The record is from RNAcentral.
AUGUACAAACACACCUGGGUAGCA